This 405-nucleotide ribosomal RNA is filed under the name uncultured Thiobacillus sp. RNAcentral's name for it is "bacterial SSU rRNA". It matches the Rfam family "Bacterial small subunit ribosomal RNA", at positions 973 to 1382 of the family's 1533-position model. The record is from RNAcentral. Lineage: Bacteria; Pseudomonadati; Pseudomonadota; Betaproteobacteria; Nitrosomonadales; Thiobacillaceae.
ACCUACCCUUGACAUGUCCGGAAUCCUGCAGAGAUGCGGGAGUGCCCGAAAGGGAAUCGGAACACAGGUGCUGCAUGGCUGUCGUCAGCUCGUGUCGUGAGAUGUCGGGUUAAGUCCCGCAACGAGCGCAACCCUUAUCAUUAGUUGCUACGCAAGGGCACUCUAAUGAGACUGCCGGUGACAAACCGGAGGAAGGUGGGGAUGACGUCAAGUCCUCAUGGCCCUUAUGGGUAGGGCUUCACACGUCAUACAAUGGUCGGUACAGAGGGUUGCCAAGCCGCGAGGUGGAGCCAAUCCCAGAAAGCCGAUCGUAGUCCGGAUUGUUCUCUGCAACUCGAGAGCAUGAAGUCGGAAUCGCUAGUAAUCGCGGAUCAGCAUGUCGCGGUGAAUACGUUCCCGGGUCUU